AAAAAAAAAAAAAAAAAAAAAAAAAAAAAAAUUUCCCUCUGCUUUCCUUUUUAUGUAUACCUUCCUACAGCACACGUCGUGUAACACAGGACGUUUGUGGAACCGGACACUUGCCACAGACAGUGUAUUGGCAGGUUUUAUGCGUGGUCCACCCGCUGGGACUUCUGAGUAGAAAUCCUAGCCCAAAACCCUGUAGUUCUUCCCUUUGCAGGGGCUCUGCAAGUAAGGACUAAGAAGCACAAGUGCUUUGCUUGUCCUGCUGGAGACAACCGUGUCUGGAACCUUGAUUCGGAAAAGCUUCUGGGCACGUACAACAAAUGGAUUCCUUUAACGGUUUGCGUUUUUCUGUGACUGCUGAGAAAUGAAUCCUGUGGUAAGACCCGUAGUGCUCUGUUUUGGUGGAUUCUAGAUUAAGUGGCUCCCACAAAUUGUUUAUUCCUUGGAAUUCUGUGAAAAGGAAACCUGCCAUCAUUUUUUCCAGCUAGUAACAGAUCUCAUUAGCGUAGUUUGUGAUUCACAUAAGCGGUAACUAUCUGGGGGGGGGGGGGGGGGGAUAGGUACCUGAACUUUGGAAGUUUUAAAAAUCUGCCACCAAAGGGACUUUGGAGCUCAUUCUGGGACUUCCUCAGGAUUUGGAACUUCUCUUGGUUACCUGCUUUGUUUCUUCACUCAGGGGAAGGUAACCAGAGACUCCAUGGAGGGACUGUGUGCGUCUCCUAGGGCUCCUGUAGGAAAGCACUACCAACUGAGUGGCCUUAAAUGACAGCAGUGGGUUCUGUCACCGUCCUGGAUGCUCUCAGUCUGACGCAAAUGUGUUGGCAGGGCCGUGCUCUCUGUGUGAGGAUGACGUAAGGGAGAAUCUGUUCUGUGCCUUCCUCUUAGUUCCUGGGGCUGCUGGCCACCCUCGGCGUCCCAAGCUCCGCCCCUGACAGCACAUGGCACCCACCCUGUGUGUGUCGCCAUGUCCAGAUUGCCCUCUUCCAGGCCCACUGGUCUUUGGAUUUACUGCCCGGUCUGGUGUGACCUCCUCUUCACUGAUCACAUCCAAGGGCCCUAUUUCCAAAUAAGUUCACAUUCACAGAAACCAGGGAUUAAGACUUCAACAUAUGUUUGGAGGGGAGGGAGCGGGGGGAGGCAGGACACAUACAGUUCUACCCACAACAGCACUUAGAGCACAAAAGGAUGAUGGCCACCUCUUUUCGUGGCUGUCGAUAUAGACCAAACCCUGCUGGAAAGAUAAUGUGUGUUGUAUUCAUUCCCUACUGUCCUUGACAUAGACAAAAAAAUCAAACUAUUCAGAAUAGCAUGGAGAUCGCCCAGAGGCCACUUGGAAAUGUUCUGUGGAUUACGCCUGGUCCUGCAGUGGAAUGGAAUAUAUUUCUUCAUAGCAACGAGAUGCUUUCAUAAUUAAGGCUGAUUACUAAAAUUUUAUUAGUUCAGCUGGGGGAACCCUGUUUCUCAGCAAAGUCCUAGAAGAAAUGAGGCUGAUUCAGCCAUUCCUUACCCUGAUGACUUCCUGGCUUGCUGUCUUCUGGCCUUGGAGUGGGCAGAGCAGGAAAGGGGCCUGGGAGAGCCGAAUGUCAUCGGAGCUGAAGGAAUGUGUGCGUUUGCUCAUGACCAUUCUGGGCUCUCACAGUUUCGAUGCACCCUCUGACAGUGUCAGCCCUGAGACUUCCUCCUGUCACCCCUUAUUCCCUCCCUCACACCCUCUAUUCCGGCCACGUCACCCAAAUGUGGGGGAGCCUCAUACACACCAGCCCUGCCUGCCUCUGCCCAGGGGCUUCUGCUUCUCCUGCUCUUGGCUGUUUUCUUCCCAUCUCAGCUUGAAUGUCAUCCCUCCUCUGACCCCCACGAUGUCCUCUCCUCCUCCACAGCACUCUACAGUUUGCAGCGGUAAGUUUGUGCGUGUAGAUUGUCAGCAGCUCUAUCAAUAGCCUGUCAGCACCAAGAACAUAGUAGCCACACAUUUUCUUCCCACCGUGUGUCUAAUUCUCAAAAUGAUUGGCAUGUAACCCGGUGGGCAUUUGUUGGAGAAACCAGUGAAAGAGUGAAUGGAUACUCAGCAGUUAAGAGUGACUCCUGACAGUGGGAAAUGCUCAUUUAUCACAGGUCAGUGGCCUUCAAUAAAUAAUAAAUCAAAGAACAGAGUCCUUUUCAUUUUUAGCAGAGGCAGCCUUGUAUGGAAAGAGGAAAGAAAAGAAUGUGUUCAGUUUAGAAUAGAGUGGUUCUCAACUGGGACCCUCAGGAGACAUUUGAGGUUGGCGUGACUGGGGGAGUAGGUAGUCCUCAUCCUGGUGGAUGAAGGUCAGGGACACUGCUGAGCAUCCUGGAACGUACAGACAGUCAUACAACAAAGAAUUCUCCAGCCCGAAAUGUCAGUAUUACCAAGGUUGAGACAUCCUGGUUUUGAAAAAGCUCAAGUGACAAAACAUUAGAGGCAGAAAGACAAGCCGGCAGAGGGAGCGCUCUCACGUGGUCCUGUUUUCGGAAGAGACACGGAGAUGGUUACGGGAAAGUGACCAGUUGGCUUACCUGGAGUCCGGAAGACUGUGCUUGUUAAUCACAGUGUACGAGGGUUGUCUCCACAGUAGCUUUUAGACUUGUCUUGGCAAAACAGAUUGAAAAGCACUUUCUGAGGAUUUGUUACUUUUCCACCAGAGUGUCAGAGAACCAAAGCCCCCUCAUCCAUCCGAAGCUCACUGGGAGAGUGAGCACAGGUGAGGGAGAAAGUUCGUCAGAUGAGAUCUAAAGUACCCAGGUGAUUAGCUUCGAGGCACAAAAACUCAGUCUGACGUCAACAAGCAUGACAUUUCCUGGGAAGAAGAGAACAGAAGGAAGCAAUUACUCAUCACCUCCAUCAGUCCCCAUGGGUAGGAAUAUGCUAGAGUUUCAGCCUCCUGAAGUCUCAGUGGCUCUGGGCCACCCAGGGGUGUUUUCCACUCAUGCCACGUGUGUGUCCUGCUGUCCCAGAGCCCAGAUGGGCACGGGUUCCACUACAAAGAAACGCAGCCAUGAAGGGAUGGCGAGUUGCCAGACCAGGCCUUGCACACCCUUGUCCAGAACUGACCCACGCGUUUCUGCUCAUGCCAUUGGCUAAAGCAAAUCACGGGACCACAGUGGGCCCCAGGGGGUGGAAGUGCCCAGAAGGAGGGGCAGACGUGCAGCACCUCCCCCUUUGAAGUAGACAUGUGAGUCGGGCUUCUAACGGGGGGCUCUCAAGGCACGUGGAUAUUACCCCAGUAGGUGUAUGUUCUAGAAAAGGUGAUAUACACACAAGUCCCCCAGCUAGUACAGCUCUCCACAGCUGGACAUGUGAAAAUGGAGAUAUCUCACAGAACCUGGUGUUGGGCUUUGAUUGCCAUUUCUCCAUAGUUGAAUUUCCUUCUUCCGUCAGGGCAGGGCUGGGCAUGGCAUGCACAGCAGGAGAAAGUGAGCUCCUGUUCUGUGUGCCUAGGACCCUGGAAACUGCCCAGCCAGGGAGGGAGGGAGGUAGGAGGUCACAGAAGGGAUCAGAGUUGGGCACUUUGUGCCAGAUCACUUUCAUUUGGACAUGGGUGUCCCUGCCGGGUGGAGGUCUGUGCAGGACUUGAGAAAAAGAAUGUCCUCUGUGCCUUUUCGGAAUACAGUGGAGUAAGACAAGUGGCUGUGCUCAUUGCUGCAGAUCACCAGAGCUGAUUUUGGGAGAGCCUCAAUGUACACGUUUCCAUACCCCAUUCCCAGAUUGCAGUCACCUUGGGGGGAGCCUAUCUCGCAGUGGCUCUUGGGUGAUGGAUGGCGAGUAUUCUAGGCAAUGGGAAUUUGAGAAGGGCCUCAGUUGAUGCAGGGGACCCCUGAGCAGGUGCACAGGGGAAGCUGGCACUCAGGCAGUGGGUGGGACUGUAACCUGAGCAUUCUGAUCCUAGAGUCACAAGGGACAUGUGGUCAUUGGUGCCUGAACAUAGUCAUUGGCAUCUGAAGUGUGGCCAGUCCAAACCAAGAUGGGCUGUCAGCAUAUAAUACAUGCAGGAUUUUUAGGACUUAGUGUAAAGUAAAGAACAUUGUUGAGAGCUGAGUUGUUUGUGCCAGAAAUUCACAUGGUCAGGUCCUAAUCUCUAGGACCUCAGGAUGUGACUGCCUUUCGACCUCCGUCCAUGAAAGAGUUGAUAAAGUAAAGUGAGGUCACUGGGAUGGGCCCUGAUCCAAUCAGACCUGUGCACUUCUAAGAAGAGAUUAGGACACAGACACACAGUAAGGACCCUGUGAGGGCAGAGUGAGAAGAGGUGCCUGUACACGCCAAGGACAGAGGCCUCCAAAGAAACCGUCCAGCCUGGGGCUUGGUCUUGGACGUGCAGCCUCCAGAACUCUGAGGCGAUAAGUGAAGGGCGGGUACCCAGUCCAUGUACGUACUUGCAGCCACUAGAGCGACUCAUGCCAACAUCAAAUAUCCCACUAAUUUCUGUGUUCUGAUUACAUGCCAGAAUGGUAAUGUUGUAGGUAAAUUUUACUAAAAUGAAUUCCAUUUUUUAAAAUGUGGCUACUAGUAAUUUGAAGUGACAUACUUCUCGUGCAUCAUGUUUCUAUUGGACGGUGCUGAUCUGAGCCAAAGACUCUGUUACUGAGUGUCUAGACCCUGGUCCUGCUGGCACGUCCAUCCACGUGCUGGUGUGAAGGGAGGGUUUGCCCUUCACCCUCCGGGGCCGUCUCAGGCAGCUGGGACUGCUUCUGUGCCUGUUGGCACUCGUGCUGAGUGGAUAUUUGAAAAACUAGACAGUAACUAAGAGAAUUAGAACAUGGGGACCAAAGCCAGGAAAUAAUAGAACUUAUGUCAGUACGGAAAGGGAAAGCAUGACAACAAGCAUCAAUAUUAGAUUUUUUUUCCUGUGACCCAAUGUCUUUUCUACAAUUUGGGGGGGAAAAAAAACCUGUCAGGAGUGUGGGAGUUAUUCACGUCAGGAAAUUUGAGGGGACGCGUGAGUCAGGGACUCCUUUAGGGCAGAGGAUUCUUGGAAGGGAAAACACGGGGCAAAUGUUAGGCAAGGAAAGAGGCAGAAACAGAGCUGUGAAUGAAGACGAACCAUGAGAAACCAAGAAAAACCAACGUAGCUUUGUUGGAGCAGGUGCAGCUUUCUGUGCUUAUUUUAUCUUAUUUUAUUUUUAAAAUGUAGCAUCAUGCCCCUCAGGUAUGCUGUUCUCUUUCCUGCUUUGGCCAAAAUCAGUUAUACUCCCAAGCUCUGAAGGAUAAGUCACGUUCUCUCAGUGUGAUUUGCGUAUUUAAGUGCCUUUGGGAAUGACAGCCCCUGACAGACGCCCUCUGAUACCUGCACUGGCUGGGCCGGGAUCCUACCUGAGGCCCUGCUGAGCAGUUCCAGUCUUUGGACGGAGAAGGUCUUUCUAGAGCCAGCUCAUCCACCGUCCUCUUUUCACGAGCUCUCUCUUUCCGGCAUCUGGUCCCAUGGGCCUGCCCCCAUCUCCCUGCCACUCUUCCCCGGGGGCUACCACACUUCAUGAGACAUAAAGUAAAGUGUGUGGCCACAGUAUCUAGCAUGGCUUGAAGCACUUCAAAGAUCCCCAUGCCCCUGGGUACCCCCACCUCCUCCUUCAAUCCUCUCUCUACCCACAACAUCUGGCCUUUGUCGAGAAAAGGCCAGAUUUUCUUUGAUUCCCAACCGCCUGGACUUGCCAUGGUCUUCCCUGGGUGUGGAAGGUCCCCUUAUCGCCUGCUGUCGCGUUCCCACGCUCUCUCCAUCUUGGGCCCUCCCUGCCCCCACUGUCCAUGAAGAUAUCAUCCUAGGCACUCAUUGCCCUGGCCUUAGAACUAUUUCUGUGUCUCCUGUCUCUCCACUCUUUGAAUAUCUCACCCUUUUCAGCCCCCUGAGCACUCCGAGGAUCUUGGUAAAAUGCAGACUGCGAUUCAGUAGGUCUUGGGUGGGGCCCGAGGCUGCGUAUUUCUAAGCAACUCCUGGUAAUGACAAGGGAGCGGGUCCAGGGACCACCUCAGUCACCAGGCCCUGCUUUGGCUGAAGCUCCUUGAGCUUCUGUGUCCCUCUCAGAGAGACCAGUGCUGCAUAGGAACUGGACACUCGGGGGAAAAAUGUUUUUCGUAAACUUUACUUUUGAGAGCAGUUUUGGGUUUACAACAGAAUUGAAUGGGAAGUGUAGGGAGUUUCCUUCCCCCUUCCCCACCCUGCCCUGACACAGGCACAGCUCCCCCACCAUCAGCGCUGCCGUUCUGGUUCGUCUUUUGCUGAGGGGAGCACAUUCUGGCCGGCACUUGAGCAAAAGACUUGGAAAGGGCACCGUCACUCAGACAUGCCACAAAGUGCCUUCUGUUAGGCAUGUUUGUCUCCUCUGUGUGGUCUUGCUUCCUGGCCCAGACUCUGAGUCCCUGAGAGAUCUAAGGGGGCAGAUCCCUGAGCUCACUUCUACAGUGUGUGAGCUCUGGGGGGGCUGGGGAAGCGUUCCCCAGGCUCCUUUCCUGAGGCUGAUGCUUGCUCUACUUCAGUACCAUGUUCACUGCAGAGCCUACAGAUCAGACAAAGACAAUCUUGCAAAACCUGAGCGGGCUUUUCCUUCCUGAAUUCUGUACAUCUUCUAGAAACGACAGUUCUCGGUCAGGAUGGCUGCGGGGGCUCAUCAGUGAGUGAGCAGGACCGUCACACUGGGAGGGUGUCCGGGGUGGGCCACGACCUCUGAUUUCAUUGCUGACCCAGGUUCUAUCCCCAACGCCAUGAUAUGCGUGCCGUGAUCUGCGUGAUCGCGUGAUGCAGGAUCAUUGAAAUCACAAGAAUUUGGUGUGAUCUCACAUUUAUUUCAUCUUAAGGGGAAAACAUUACAGCUCUGAUUUUAAAACCUAUAUCUGGGUAAGGGGAUCUCACGGCACGGUUGCAUUUAAAGGCUGGGGAUCACGAAAUUCUAAAAUGGAAACUCAACAGGGCCUCAGUCUGGCAAAAGUAUGACUCAGUUAAAGCUUCAUCGAUACAGGCUGUCACCAUGUGGCUGGGUCCUUGUGUCAUUAAGAAAGUCUUCAUUAUGUCCUUAAUGUAUGGAAACUAGGCAUUCCAGAGCUCAUUUGCACUGUUAAAUUUAUUCAUCUUCCCAAGGGACACAGGGACAGAAUCCAAGGCAGGGACGUCCCUCGAACACCUUGGCGGGAAGUGAAGGAGCGGGUACCCGUGGAAGGCGUCCCAGGGGCUGCGGGGAUGGCGGAGGACAAGGGACCAGCCUUGGAGUAUAUUAAAAGUUUCCUCUGCCUUUGUGCUCUGAACGCUGUAAAACUGAAUGGAUUUUCUUCUGCUUAAUACCGGACACUCCGGCUUUUGAAUUCUGUCCUGUUAUCUUUCCGUGUUUCUUCCACAUGAAGUCAUUCUUCUAUUUUUGCCUUUCUAUCGUUUUAAAAAGUUUUGAAUGUCUUUCAGCCAAGCUCUUGGGCUUUUCAUCUUUUUCUCUCUCUCCAUAAAACGUCAUUUCCAUCUGUUGCCCCUUUCAUUCUUUUACGGUUCUUCCUUCCUGGGCUAAUAACCACUCCUAGCUCCUUCUCCAUUCUGCUCUUACCACCCGUUUGAGCGUCCCCCUUAAAGCCUGCUGUCGGGUUUCAUCCUGGCAGAGGGCAUUCUUUCCCGAGCACCUUCUGCAUUGUCUGCCUUAUUGUGUUUGGUUGAGGCCUAGUAAUUUUCAAUAAAGCCCUUAAUCCAAGUGCUUCGCUGAAAAUUACCAGGCUUUUCU
This is a long non-coding RNA of Lutra lutra (Eurasian river otter), 7701 nucleotides long. RefSeq lists it as uncharacterized. The transcript has 2 exons. The record is from RefSeq and is a predicted model, not a curated record. Lineage: Eukaryota; Metazoa; Chordata; Mammalia; Carnivora; Mustelidae.